AAUUUGGAUGCACAGCAGAAAAUGUGGUUGAGAAAUUGGAAAGCUACUACAAACAUACUCUGUUCUGGAGAGGCAGUAUGAAGUGUGCAUUGAAGGAAGACCUGGGACUGCAUUUUAGCUCUGCCACCUCGAGGGACAGAGCAAUCAGUUGGAAGGUAUUUCCCCUCCCUGGUUUCUUCCAGUCCAGAACAGAGCACUGGGGGCAGACCCAAUGGGAUGGCUGGUGUGACUCCUCAGUGGACUCUGCCCUGAAGAGGUGACGUGUUCUCCAAAGGGCCCAAGUUAGUAUCCCAAGAGCCUCAGCAAAGGGACUGUGUUCUCCCCCUAUCAAGCCAAGAAAGAAAAAGACUGAAAACUUCAAUAAGGCAAAGGUGAUAAAAAUGUCUUCAUGGACCCUUGGGUAAAAUGGAUUGUCAGUCAGAUGAUCUGGGUUGAAGAUCUGGCUUUGAUGCUAACCACCUACUGACCAGGAGAACAGGAUUUUGUCACUUAGGUGCCCAAUGCUGGACUCCUGAAGACCACAGCUCAGUCAUGUGAGAUACCUGUCAACCAUGAGGAAGCCCAAAGGAUGGAUCAGUUCAAGGUGAGACCUCCUUGACAUUCUGUUGUAAGCACCAAAUAGAAAGCAAAGGCAAGAAAGCAGAUGCAUAGCCAAAUAAACUAGAAGACCAGGAAGACAAUGAGAGGCCAACAAGAGAAUCUCAGGAUGGAAGAAGAGAUUUUCAUAAAUGAAACUGGAGGUCUUCAGAAACUGCCUGAGUCAGCCUCACUUAAAAGUACAAGAGCAGGUAAAACUUGCCCAGGUAGUAACAAUGGAAACAUAUAGGGUUUUGCAACUUCCAGUUAGUGCAUGAGAAAUGUGCUAUAACAGUACAUAGUAGAGACCUUGGUUAUGGUUAGGGUUUUGAUCAGCAAGCCAUUCCCUCACCCUUUAAUUCCCAGGUCACACAGAGUGAGAGUCGACUAAGCCAAUAAAACAAGGUCAUGGACAUUUGCAGUAUGUACACAGAUUGUGAUGUGGUAGGCAAACUGGGAGUUAGGCAGGGGAUAGAGGAGAAAUAUUUUUUGGGUUU
Long non-coding RNA from Myotis brandtii (Brandt's bat), 1073 nucleotides. RefSeq lists it as uncharacterized. Lineage: Eukaryota; Metazoa; Chordata; Mammalia; Chiroptera; Vespertilionidae. The record is from RefSeq and is a predicted model, not a curated record. The transcript has 5 exons.